This 469-nucleotide ribosomal RNA is filed under the name uncultured bacterium. Its description in RNAcentral is "partial 16S ribosomal RNA". It matches the Rfam family "Bacterial small subunit ribosomal RNA", at positions 28 to 507 of the family's 1533-position model. The record is from RNAcentral.
GAUGAACGCUGGCGGCGUGCUUAACACACGCAAGUCGAACGGUGAACACGGAGCUUGCUCUGUGGGAUCAGUGGCGAACGGGUGAGUAACACGUGAGCAACCUGCCCCUGACUCUGGGAUAAGCGCUGGAAACGGCGUCUAAUACUGGAUAUGUGACGUGACCGCAUGGUCUGCGUUUGGAAAGAUUUUUCGGUUGGGGAUGGGCUCGCGGCCUAUCAGCUUGUUGGUGAGGUAAUGGCUCACCAAGGCGUCGACGGGUAGCCGGCCUGAGAGGGUGACCGGCCACACUGGGAUUGAGACACGGCCCAGACUCCUACGGGAGGCAGCAGUGGGGAAUAUUGCACAAUGGGCGAAAGCCUGAUGCAGCAACGCCGCGUGAGGGAUGACGGCCUUCGGGUUGUAAACCUUUUUUAGCAGGGAAGAAGCGAAAGUGACGGUACCUGCAGAAAAAGCGCCGGCUAACUACGUG